RNAcentral lists this long non-coding RNA (844 nucleotides) under Gadus morhua (Atlantic cod). Its description in RNAcentral is "lncRNA (ENSGMOG00000030753.1)". Lineage: Eukaryota; Metazoa; Chordata; Actinopteri; Gadiformes; Gadidae. The record is from RNAcentral.
GCCAGCUCAUCAAGUGCUUACAUUCAGCAGCUUCUCUCAAGGGAUGUUGCCUGCCAGACAGAAAACCUGGAAACGCAUAUUUGUAGGCACAAAGCUGUCCUUAAAGUCUAUGCAGCCCCAUUUUAAAAGUGAAGAAGACUGCGAUGCCUUUGGAGACCGUAGCACUCAGUGUUGCGCCACCUCAGAGAUUCUUGGUGUGGACGCCCCUGGCUCCUCCCACAUGUCCAGUCACAGCGAGGAGCUGAAGAUUCUGAGCGUCUACGGAAAAGGGGAGGGCCCACUGGCGGAGGACGGCCAUGACACCCUCUUCACCUCGUCAGAAGUGGAGGCCCUGAACUCGCUGCCUGCGGACCACCGCGCGGCCAAGAGCCAGGAGCGCGGUGAGCGGCUGGUCUGCCACGAGGAGCUGCGUGUGCAGGUUGGAAAUCAUCUUCUCAUUCACCAUCCAAAAGAGAGGUUUCCUCUGUUACAACUCUAAAACAAACCCAUAGAAAGCUCACACCUUUAUGAUUCAGUAAACGUUUUUACACCGCCAAAUAUGCCCGUCUUAUGCCCAACUUUUCCCCUGUGUGAUCUGCACGUUUACACUGAGCGAGGUAAUUUACAGGCUUUAUUUCACACCCCUAUUAACCCUCUCUGACCCUACACAUAUUGGGGGUUUCAUUUUGAUGUAAAUGCGAUAAGACAGCCUUGCGGUUCUAGGGGGGAGGCUUGGGUAGAGGUGUUGCUGCAUUGUCUCUACAACAGAGACGAUGCAGCGAUAUCAACAUGAAUAGUUGUAACUGGAGAGACGGCGAAAUCCGCAAGCUGCUGACCAUCAUGGGAGAGAAGGUGAUGCAGUCGC